Molecule: small nuclear RNA, 107 nt
Organism: Capra hircus (goat)
Lineage: Eukaryota; Metazoa; Chordata; Mammalia; Artiodactyla; Bovidae
Source: Ensembl
GUGCUCGCUUCAGCAGCAUAUAUACUAAAAUUGGAACGAUACAGAGAAAAUUAGUAUGGCCCCUGCACAAGGAUGACACGCAAAUUUAUGAAGUGUUCCAUAUUUUU